RNAcentral lists this ribosomal RNA (424 nucleotides) under uncultured prokaryote. Its description in RNAcentral is "bacterial SSU rRNA". It matches the Rfam family "Bacterial small subunit ribosomal RNA", at positions 355 to 796 of the family's 1533-position model. The record is from RNAcentral.
UGGGGAAUAUUGGACAAUGCGGGAAACCGUGAUCCAGCAAUGCCGCGUGAGUGAUGAAGGCCUUAGGGUUGUAAAGCUCUUUUACCAGGGAUGAUAAUGACAGUACCUGGAGAAUAAGCUCCGGCUAACUCCGUGCCAGCAGCCGCGGUAAUGCGGAGGGAGCUAGCGUUGUUCGGAAUUACUGGGCGUAAAGCGCGCGUAGGCGGCUAUUCAAGUCAGGGGUGAAAUCCCGGGGCUCAACCCCGGAACUGCCCUUGAAACUAGGUAGCUAGAAUACUGGAGAGGUGAGUGGAAUUCCUAGUGUAGCGGUGAAAUGCGUAGAGAUUAGGAAGAACACCGGUGGCGAAAGCGCUCUGCUAGGCCGCAACUGACACUGAGGGACGAAAGCUAGGGGAGCGAAUGGGAUUAGAUACCCGGGUAGUCC